CUUUCCACUCACACCAGACUGACCCCAGAACAGUGGGAGAACCGCCUCAACAGAUUCAUCAACAACAUGAGCAGGUACCGGAUAAAAGUGACUGCAUUAAUAAUUCAAUUCUGCUUUUGUCUGUAUAGCGUGUUUAACAGCGUACGAUGUCACAGAGCAGCUUUACAGAAACUUAUACAUUCUUUACAUUUAGAAAUUUAUCCUUAACGUGCAAGCCAGAGGCAAAUUUUACAAAAGAAACAUUUGUAGCAUGCAUAUAAGGGAUGUGUAUUUACUUUACAGAGACUAUCCCGGGCAACACGAGGCUGAACAUAUAGCAUGAUGGUUUUUCUGAUUAUAUCAUUCUUAAGUUUAAUACACAAGUUUAAUAGUAAUAUACACUACCAAUCAAAAGUUUGUGGACACCCGACUGGAAAGUUUUUCAUGAUCUUAAAAGCCUUUUGAUCUGAAGGUGUACGAUUAAAUGUUUGAAAUGAACGUUAUACCAAUUUACACUGCUGAAUUUUUCAGUGAAUCUCUUCCAGGAAUGCCAGUGUUCAGACUACACUCAGCACAUGGGGUCUAAGCUUUGAGAACGAGCUGCUGAAUCUGACUGGAAGAGUUCUUCCUGCUGAGAGGAUCCUACAGGGAGCGAGAGCAGAUGGAGUACGAUGAUCGACAGGAGGCUCUGCUGAGAGCUCUGCAGCAGAGAGUGGUGCAACAGGUUCAGAUGCUGCAGUUCAUAGAAACCUCUUCAUGGCUAAAGCUG
This is a long non-coding RNA of Ictalurus punctatus (channel catfish), 748 nucleotides long. Lineage: Eukaryota; Metazoa; Chordata; Actinopteri; Siluriformes; Ictaluridae. The record is from Ensembl.